Molecule: ribosomal RNA, 467 nt
Filed under: uncultured bacterium
Lineage: Bacteria
Description: partial 16S ribosomal RNA
Rfam family: Bacterial small subunit ribosomal RNA
Source: RNAcentral
GACGAACGCUGGCGGCGUGCUUAACACAUGCAAGUCGAACGGAAAGGCUCCAGCUUGCUGGAGUACUCGAGUGGCGAACGGGUGAGUAACACGUGGGUAAUCUGCCCUGCACUCUGGGAUAAGCCUGGGAAACUGGGUCUAAUCCUGGAUAGGACCUUCUUCUUAAUGGGGUUGGUUGGAAGGUUUUUCGGGUUAGGAUGGGCCCGCGGCCUAUCAGCUUGUUGGUGGGGUGAUGGCCUACCAAGGCGACGACGGGUAGCCGGCCUGAGAGGGUGAUCGGCCACAUUGGGACUGAGAUACGGCCCAGACUCCUACGGGAGGCAGCAGUGGGGAAUAUUGCACAAUGGGCGGAAGCCUGAUGCAGCGACGCCGCGUGAGGGAUGACGGCCUUCGGGUUGUAAACCUCUUUCAGCAGGGACGAAGCGUAAGUGACGGUACCUGCAGAAGAAGCACCGGCUAACUAUGUG